UACGUAGGGGGCAAGCGUUGUCCGGAAUCAUUGGGCGUAAAGAGCGUGUAGGCGGCCCGGUAAGUCCGCUGUGAAAGUCCAGGGCUCAACCCUGGGAUGCCGGUGGAUACUGUCGGGCUCGAGUCCGGAAGAGGCGAGUGGAAUUCCUGGUGUAGCGGUGAAAUGCGCAGAUAUCAGGAGGAACACCAAUGGCGAAGGCGGGUCUCUGGGCAGUGAACUGACGCUGAGGAGCGAAAAGCCGUGGGGGAGCGAACAGG
Molecule: ribosomal RNA, 257 nt
Filed under: uncultured bacterium
Lineage: Bacteria
Description: partial 16S ribosomal RNA
Rfam family: Bacterial small subunit ribosomal RNA
Source: RNAcentral